AGAUGGAGAGGACGCUCUGCCAUUUAGAGGUCCUACUGAGUGGGCACACCUUUUCCCCUCGAGAAAACCUUGUUUCUACCAGAGAAAUGGGCAGAGGCCUCUCUCUGGAACUUGAACCUCUCUGUCCCUGGAAACAUCCCAAAGCAGGCCCAGCCUGCCAUGUUCCUUUGUUGGGGCACAGAGGGAAUGGAAUCUUACCGAUAAGGUGAGAAGAGCUUGAGAGAAUACCAAGGACGGGCCCACCCUUCUCCCUCCUCCCUCCAAACACCUCAGGCUAAAAGGGGAGGGAAAAAAAAGGCACCAACAAAGAGUUUAAGACAGCAAUUCCCAGCUUUUUCAAAUAUGAAGCAUUUUUUAACCAAUCCGUUUUUUAAUUCUUAAAUUCUUGACAUUACAGAACUAAACUGAAAUUUAUUAACAUUCCACUCUUACAUUUCUUAUCGACAAACAGAAAUAAAAUUCAUGAGCCAAAAAACCCAAAACAAAACUAAAAACAGGGAAAAGCUUAUAAAACUAAAUAUGGAUCCCAGCAUUAACAGCUGAACAGAGAAUGUGAUUUUUAAAUUCUUAGCGGAUGAUAAAGUUGUGUAGAAACUGAACACUUACAAAUUAUUUAAAACCUGGAAUCACUGACCAGAAAUUACACAGUUGGAUCAUGGGAGAACAGCAGAAAGGGGUUAUUGAGGGAACCUACACUGUUCUAGCUGCACCCCAUGCCCUUCUCAGAGGAAAGCCUGGCAUUGAUUAGAUACUGGGCCAGACUAAUACUGGCAGCAGAGCCAGUGAUAGUAACCUGCCUACCAGAGGAGCCUUCCACUGGGUUGGCAAUUUUGAUCUGGGCCCCGGACAUCUGGCGGAUCUCAUUAAUGUUGGCGCCUUGGCGCCCGAUUAUGCAGCCAAUUAAGUUAUUUGGAAUGGUGAGUUCAUGGGUGGUUUGAGUAGAUGCAUCCAAACUUGCCCAAUAGCCUUUCACCUCUGGAGAGCUGGAGUCAAUUCCGGCGAAUCCGGUCCCGCCGUGCAUCAUGGCAAAGUGAGACUGUUGUCUUGCCACCUGGUUCAGCUUGGCCAGAUCGAGCGGAGAAAUGGUGUGUUGUCCUUGAAUCGAGUAGGCAUCUAGAGGUGGUCCCUCCAGGUCAUGGGUGGCAUGGGGGUAGCCCGCAGCGUCGCUGCACCGAUCUUGGCCGCCCGCGCAGAUGACUGGGGAGCUGGCCGGCAUGGGCUGGUACGGAAUGGUCAUGACUCUCCCUUGCGGAGACUGGGAGAGCGUCUCCAGCAUGACCAGGCAAAUCUGCUUGACACACUCGGUGACAGACUGCGGCACGCCAGCGAUGGUGAUGGCCCGCUCGGUGGAGUUGGGCAGCAUAUCCCCCGCCACCUGGACCUGCGCCCCCGUACUCUCGCGGAUCUCUUUGAUCUUACACCCGCCUUUCCCAAUCAGGGAGCCGCACUGGGUGGCCGGCACCACCAGCCUCAGGGUGACCGGGGGCCUGCUGGCCGCGGUACUGUUGGUCAUGGAGCUGUUGAUAUCUUCCUCCAGCUUGUCGAUGAUCAUAGCGAAAGCCUUAAAGAUGGCAUUGGUGGGGCCGGUCAGAGUGAUGAUUCUCUCCGGACAAUUCCCCUCCGAGAUGUUGAUCCGCGCGCCACUCUCCUCGCGGAUCCUCUUAACCGACUCCCCUUUCUUCCCAAUGAUGCUUCCUACUUCCUUUCCGUGCAUAAGAAGCCGAAUGAGGAAGACAAACAUAAAGAUGAAGUGCUUAAUUCAAGGUCACACAAUGUCGGGGAUGGACCUCCAGAUUUCCUUACUGACCUGCAUUAUCUUGUGGAUACCUGAGUGAAUUCCACACCACCCAUUUUAUAGAUGAAACCACUGAGACAUGGAGCAAUUGACUGAGUAGUCACUGCCCCACCCCUGCCUGGAGCCUCACACAUGACUCGCCUCCUCUCAGUGACCACAGGAAAACAAGCUCAGGGCUCCCACUGAUUGUACAUUAUGAGACGGAGUCUUGCUAUGUUGCCCAGGCUGGUCUUGAACUCCUCACCUCAAGCGAUCCUCCCGUCUUGGCCUCCCAAGUGUCAGGAUUACGGGCAUGUGCUAUCACACCCAACCUGAUACAUUGCCUUUAUAAAUUUUUUUUUCUUUAUUCUAAAAACCAGAAAAAACAAAACUGGAUACAUGUGCAGAACUUGCAGACCAAGUGUGUUGGGGACUUGAGAUGCGUACAUGAGUGUGAUGUUUCCUGCUGAAAGCACAGGUGAGACGUGGUCUUGUAACACAGUGGUUAAGAAUGUGACUUUGGAGCCAGCCUGCUAGGGGCUGAAUUCUGACUCAGCCAUUUACUAACUGUGUGACCUUAGGCUGGAGUGCAAUGGCAUGAUCUCGGCUCAUCACAACCUCUGCUUCCUGGGUUCAAGCGAUUCUCCUGCCUCAGCCUCCCGAGUACCUGGGACUACAGGCACUCGCCACCAUGCCCGGCUGAUUUUUGUAUUUUUAAUAGAGAUGGUUUCACUAUGUUGGCCAGGCUGGUCUCGAACUCCUGACCUUGUGAUCUGCCCACCUCAGCCUCGAAAAGUGCUGGGAUUACAGGCGUGAGCCACUGCGCCCAGCCUUGUAUUUUUUUUCAGUUUGGGUAGCUGUCCCUAAUUCAUUUGUUAAAGGAGAAGCAAGAGCAAGAACCUUUAAUCUGUUCUCCUCUUCCCUAAUUUGAAAGUAGCUUGUUAUUUUGAAUAUCACUUUCUCUGAAAUAGCACAUCUCCAUCUCAGAGAAUGGAUUUAAUGUUUGGAUACAGCCAAAAGUCAUUUCAUUACCAAACCAUGGGGUGAAUAUACCAUGUAAAGCAGUUUGGGAUCAGAACUCACAGUCUGAAUUGUAAGUGAUGAGACUGCUGUCUCUCUGCUACAGCUUCUUGGCUGGCUCUGAAGGCUCUUUGAAGGCAGAUCCUAACAAGGGGACUGCUUUGAAGGGCCAUUGUUCAUUUGGAAUGAUAAAGUCUAUGUUGUUCAAAAAACAAAUGCUUGUAGCAGGUAUUUUUUCACUCCAGACUGAGAAUAUUGGUGGGAUAUUGAUAAGGGGUACUGAAUGGUAAUAAACAUGUGCUCUAGCUCUGUGCUAGUCAGCUUAUUUCAGAACUCUAGUUUGAUUCAGUUUCUUGCCUCUGACUCAAAAUGGAGGGAGAGUGAUUUUUACAUAAGAGAACACACCCACAUAUCCUUUUGGCAGCAGCUACCUGCCAGAGAUGUUGAAGAAGAGUAGCCAACCUUUACACAGCAGAUAUUGUGUGCCAGUCAUAGUCCUAAGUAUAAUACCUUACAUGUAUAAACUUCUUAUAAGGUUGGUGCUCUGUACCGAAUUGAAUAGUAUCCCCCAAAAUUCAUGUUGUCCCAGAACCUAUGAAAGUGAUCUUACUUGAGGGAGGGGGGAGGGG
RNAcentral lists this long non-coding RNA (3423 nucleotides) under Homo sapiens (human). Its description in RNAcentral is "non-protein coding PCBP1-AS1:214". Lineage: Eukaryota; Metazoa; Chordata; Mammalia; Primates; Hominidae. The record is from RNAcentral.